RNAcentral lists this ribosomal RNA (1287 nucleotides) under metagenome. RNAcentral's name for it is "bacterial SSU rRNA". It matches the Rfam family "Bacterial small subunit ribosomal RNA", at positions 242 to 1520 of the family's 1533-position model. The record is from RNAcentral.
UAGCUAGUUGGUGAGGUAAAGGCUUACCAAGGCGACGAUCUGUAGCGGGUCUGAGAGGAUGAUCCGCCACACUGGAACUGAGACACGGUCCAGACUCCUACGGGAGGCAGCAGUGGGGAAUUUUGGACAAUGGGGGCAACCCUGAUCCAGCCAUGCCGCGUGAGUGAAGAAGGCCUUCGGGUUGUAAAGCUCUUUCGGCCGGGAAGAAAUCGCAUGGGCCAAUACCCUGUGUGGAUGACGGUACCGGAAUAAGAAGCACCGGCUAACUACGUGCCAGCAGCCGCGGUAAUACGUAGGGUGCGAGCGUUAAUCGGAAUUACUGGGCGUAAAGCGUGCGCAGGCGGUUUUGUAAGACAGGCGUGAAAUCCCCGGGCUUAACCUGGGAACUGCGUUUGUGACUGCAAGGCUAGAGUACGGCAGAGGGGGGUGGAAUUCCACGUGUAGCAGUGAAAUGCGUAGAGAUGUGGAGGAACACCAAUGGCGAAGGCAGCCCCCUGGGUCGAUACUGACGCUCAUGCACGAAAGCGUGGGUAGCAAACAGGAUUAGAUACCCUGGUAGUCCACGCCCUAAACUAUGUCAACUAGGUGUUGGGUGGGUAAAACCAUUUAGUACCGUAGCUAACGCGUGAAGUUGACCGCCUGGGGAGUACGGCCGCAAGGUUAAAACUCAAAGGAAUUGACGGGGACCCGCACAAGCGGUGGAUGAUGUGGAUUAAUUCGAUGCAACGCGAAAAACCUUACCUACCCUUGACAUGCCAGGAACUUGCCAGAGAUGGCUUGGUGCCCGAAAGGGAGCCUGGACACAGGUGCUGCAUGGCUGUCGUCAGCUCGUGUCGUGAGAUGUUGGGUUAAGUCCCGCAACGAGCGCAACCCUUGUCGUUAAUUGCCAUCAUUUAGUUGGGCACUUUAACGAGACUGCCGGUGACAAACCGGAGGAAGGUGGGGAUGACGUCAAGUCCUCAUGGCCCUUAUGGGUAGGGCUUCACACGUCAUACAAUGGUCGGUACAAAGGGUUGCCAAGCCGCGAGGCGGAGCCAAUCCCAGAAAGCCGAUCGUAGUCCGGAUUGCAGGCUGCAACUCGCCUGCAUGAAGUCGGAAUCGCUAGUAAUCGUGGAUCAGCAUGUCACGGUGAAUACGUUCCCGGGUCUUGUACACACCGCCCGUCACACCAUGGGAGCGGGUUCCGCCAGAAGUAGGUAGCCUAACCGCAAGGGGGGCGCUUACCACGGCGGGGUCCGUGACUGGGGUGAAGUCGAAACAAGGUAGCCGUAGGGGAACCUGCGGCUG